GACAUCCCAAGGAUUCCGGAUAGCACUAACUCAUAGGAAACUAUUGCGGUAUAGUGUGCAUGACUCGGAGUAGAGGAAUUUGUAAGAACAGAAAAUCACUGAUUUGAAUGAGGGGUUAAACCAAGGGUGAGCUACUCUGGUACUGAUGAGAAGCAGGGUGUGGAGGAUUUAGUGGGAAAACAUAUCCACUUGGGCUGCGUGUGUAAAUGCAGUCUUAGUCAAAAAUAAUAAUAAUCGGACAAUACAGGUGAGUUUACACCAGCUGCCCAUCGUUGUCUAAUCAGGCUCUGAUUGGUUGCAGGUUGUCUGCUACACACACAAGUCUUUUCUCCUCACUUCACCAGUGCUGUUCAUUGGGUGUCAUGGCUGCUCGUACUGGCUCAGGGUGCCUCCUUGCUUUGCUGAGCUGUUCAUUGUUAUCCUUAUCAACAAGUUUAUAGGACUGUCUUUCUCCACCCUCUUCGAGCACGGCACUCGUUGUCUAUGAGAAAGACACUAGUCGGAGCGACACCGACAAGCAUAUGCUGCCCCCCUCUCCUCCUGAGACUGAAGGCUCUAUUCCCGUUCCAUACCGACUAGCUGGUUUCAACUCCAGCAGGUUCAGGAAGAGCCUGUAGCCUGUCUUUCCAGGGUGGAGAAGACCAUUUAGUGCACCAUUGGUGCCCUGGCUCUAUCAAGAUUCCUUGGCAUGAGCAGAACAACCAAAUGUUAUUUGUCACAUACACAUGGUUAGCAGAUGUUAAUGCGAGUGUCGCGAAAUGCAUGUGCUUCUAGUUCCGACAAUGCAGUAAUAACCAACGAGUAACCUAACAA
This is a long non-coding RNA of Oncorhynchus gorbuscha (pink salmon), 813 nucleotides long. RefSeq lists it as uncharacterized. The record is from RefSeq and is a predicted model, not a curated record. The transcript is spliced from 3 exons. NCBI's taxonomy places the organism in Eukaryota, Metazoa, Chordata, Actinopteri, Salmoniformes, Salmonidae.